CUUGCCCGACGCGCUGAGAGGAGGUGCAUGGCCGUCGCCAGCUCGUGCCGUGAGGUGUCCGGUUAAGUCCGGCAACGAGCGAGACCCCCACCCCUAGUUGCUACCCGGUCCUCCGGGGCCGGGGCACACUAGGGGGACUGCCGCCGUCUAAGGCGGAGGAAGGAGGGGGCCACGGCAGGUCAGCAUGCCCCGAAUCCCCCGGGCUGCACGCGGGCUACAAUGGCGGGGACAGCGGGUGCCGACCCCGAGAGGGGAAGGCAAUCCCUUAAACCCCGCCUCAGUUGGGAUCGAGGGCUGAAACUCGCCCUCGUGAACGAGGAAUCCCUAGUAACCGCGCGUCACCAUCGCGCGGUGAAUACGUCCCUGCUCCU
Molecule: ribosomal RNA, 371 nt
Filed under: uncultured archaeon
Lineage: Archaea
Description: bacterial SSU rRNA
Rfam family: Archaeal small subunit ribosomal RNA
Source: RNAcentral